UACGUAGGGGGCAAGCGUUGUCCGGAAUCAUUGGGCGUAAAGAGCGUGUAGGCGGCCAUACAGGUCAGCUGUGAAAACUCGAGGCUCAACCUCGAGACGUCGGUUGAAACCGUAUGGCUAGAGUCCGGAAGAGGAGAGUGGAAUUCCCGGUGUAGCGGUGAAAUGCGCAGAUAUCGGGAGGAACACCAGUGGCGAAGGCGGUUGCCUGGAGCUUUGCUGACGCUGAGGCGCGAAAGCGUGGGGAGCGAGUCCGG
This 254-nucleotide ribosomal RNA is filed under the name uncultured bacterium. Its description in RNAcentral is "partial 16S ribosomal RNA". It matches the Rfam family "Bacterial small subunit ribosomal RNA", at positions 524 to 777 of the family's 1533-position model. The record is from RNAcentral.